Betta splendens (Siamese fighting fish) is the source of this 1746-nucleotide long non-coding RNA. RefSeq lists it as uncharacterized. The record is from RefSeq and is a predicted model, not a curated record. Lineage: Eukaryota; Metazoa; Chordata; Actinopteri; Anabantiformes; Osphronemidae. The transcript has 2 exons.
GCGCGCUGGCUGCUGCUGGAGCAAAACACGGCGCAGCCAUUUUGGAAUUUUAAUUGAGAAAUCAGUGACACACAAAACUUGUAUCGACCUACAAACCGCAGAACAGCAACACGUAGUUGUUGUUGUGGGUUCAGUCAACGCUGAAAGCGUCAACACGAGAUCAAAACACGAACCGAACAAUCAAUGCGAAGCCUCGAGGUUUAGAAAAGUCGCUUUCCGUUCAAACAUGCAGCGUCUCGUCAGACGCGUUAGCUGCUCUUUGUUACAGCAACGAUCGGCGCCGCGUUACUAUUAUACGCGUCAUUAUGAAGCGCUGGCGGUGGAGCGUCAGCUGCGGGUUAGCUACAGGUUACCUACGGGUUACCUACGGGUUAGCUACAGGUUAACUACGGGUUAGCUACCGGUUAGCUACUUGUUAGCUACAGGUUAACUACGGGUUAGCUACUUGUUAGCUACAGGUUAACUACGGGUUAGCUACCGGUUAGCUACAGGUUAACUACGGUUUAGCUACCGGUUAGCUACUUGUUAGCUACAGGUUAGCUACCUGUUAGCUACAGGUUAGCUACGGGUUAGUUGCGGGUCAGCUACAUGUUAGCUACAGGUUAACUACGGGUUAGCUACCGGUUAGCUAUGGGUUAGCUACUUGUUAGCUACAGGUUAACUAUAGGUUAGCUACCGGUUAGCUACAGGUUAGCUACGGGUUAGUUGCGGGUCAGCUACAGGUUAGCUACAGGUUAGCUAGAGCCGCACCCCGCUCACCUUCCAAGUAGAACGCCUUACACCCGUCCUCCCACAGCUUCUGGAGCAGCAGAGCCAGAACCGACGCCGGGGCUCCGCUCUCCGUCCACUCCGCCGUGCACUCGUCGUACACGACCACCGUGUCCGACUUGCAGCGCCGCAGGAACUUCUCCUUGUCCUCGUGGCUGGGGAUGAUGGUCCGCACGGGGAUGUUGCCCUUCCGGAACCUGCGCAGCAUCAGGCCGGGUAUCGCCACGUUCAUGGCGCUCUCGAUGUGGGACGACUCGUACAGCUCGUGGGAGCGACAGUCGAGCAGCAGCAGCGACGCGCCUCCGGACUCCAGCUCCAGCUGCAGCCAUUCCACGCUUUUACUCGGCGUCACGCGAGACAUAUCGGGCGAAUAUCAUACUACGAGCGAGCGCAACGCUUUAGUACGUGAUCCAUGGUGAUGCUACAACUACAUUACAGCCUCGAGCGAAGAGCAGGACGCAGGAGUUAGGAGCUGGCGCGUCGGCGGACGGAUCUCCUCCUGGUUCUCUCCACGGGUUCCAUCAGCCCGAGUGGGACUUUAGCGUCGACAGGAGCAGGGUCCGGUGGAAGCGUGACGGGUUCACGCCACCGGACUCAGGGUCUCCACGCACACGCUCGUUUCACCAUUCCGAUACAUGGCAGCUUUUCUGAGUUGACAGGACUCCGUGGGAGGAGCUUAGCGAGCGUGGGUUAAAGCCGCAGCAGUCGAACCCGAGCAGGAGCCGCUUUUCUCAAUGAACGCGGAGCGAACGUUUGCAAUGACUAGAGUGUGCGAAAAAUCAUCAGCCACAUGAAAUGAGUAAUAUUCUCUUAAGACUCGGCUGAAAAUCCUCAUCCUCAGUUAUGCCACUAACAAAAAGUUGGGAUCAAGUGUUCACGUCACUUGUUCAGUCUGUGUUGUGAACCGCAGCAGAUUAAACUACAGAAGGGUUCGUAUGAUGGUAUUAAUUAUCACAUUGGACACUUCUUUUUUAUCAA